Molecule: ribosomal RNA, 460 nt
Filed under: uncultured bacterium
Lineage: Bacteria
Description: partial 16S ribosomal RNA
Rfam family: Bacterial small subunit ribosomal RNA
Source: RNAcentral
CCUACGGGAGGCAGCAGUGAGGAAUAUUGGUCAAUGGGCGCUAGCCUGAACCAGCCAAGUAGCGUGAAGGAUGACUGCCCUACGGGUUGUAAACUUCUUUUAUAUGGGAAUAAAGUGCGGCACGUGUGCCUCUUUGUAUGUACUUUAUGAAUAAGGAUCGGCUAACUCCGUGCCAGCAGCCGCGGUAAUACGGAGGAUCCGAGCGUUAUCCGGAUUUAUUGGGUUUAAAGGGAGCGUAGGCGGGUUGUUAAGUCAGUUGUGAAAGUUUGCGGCUCAACCGUAAAAUUGCAGUUGAUACUGGCAGCCUUGAGUACAGUCGAGGUAGGCGGAAUUCGUGGUGUAGCGGUGAAAUGCUUAGAUAUCACGAAGAACUCCGAUUGCGAAGGCAGCCUACUGGACUGCAACUGACGCUGAUGCUCGAAAGUGUGGGUAUCAAACAGGAUUAGAUACCCCAGUAGUC